This 28-nucleotide non-coding RNA is filed under the name Rattus norvegicus (Norway rat). The record is from RNAcentral. Lineage: Eukaryota; Metazoa; Chordata; Mammalia; Rodentia; Muridae.
UGCUCAGAAUAGGUGUCCUCUCCUGCAG